Molecule: ribosomal RNA, 492 nt
Filed under: uncultured bacterium
Lineage: Bacteria
Description: partial 16S ribosomal RNA
Rfam family: Bacterial small subunit ribosomal RNA
Source: RNAcentral
AGUGAACGCUGGCGGUAGGCCUAACACAUGCAAGUCGAACGGCAGCACAGUAAGAGCUUGCUCUUACGGGUGGCGAGUGGCGGACGGGUGAGGAAUACAUCGGAAUCUACUUUUUCGUGGGGGAUAACGUAGGGAAACUUACGCUAAUACCGCAUACGACCUACGGGUGAAAGCAGGGGAUCUUCGGACCUUGCGCGAUUGAAUGAGCCGAUGUCGGAUUAGCUAGUUGGCGGGGUAAAGGCCCACCAAGGCGACGAUCCGUAGCUGGUCUGAGAGGAUGAUCAGCCACACUGGAACUGAGACACGGUCCAGACUCCUACGGGAGGCAGCAGUGGGGAAUAUUGGACAAUGGGCGCAAGCCUGAUCCAGCCAUACCGCGUGGGUGAAGAAGGCCUUCGGGUUGUAUAGCCCUUUUGUUGGGAAAGAAAAGCAGCAGGUUAAUACCCCACUGUUCUGACGGUACCCAAAGAAUAAGCACCGGCUAACUUCGUG